This 253-nucleotide ribosomal RNA is filed under the name uncultured bacterium. Its description in RNAcentral is "partial 16S ribosomal RNA". It matches the Rfam family "Bacterial small subunit ribosomal RNA", at positions 524 to 776 of the family's 1533-position model. The record is from RNAcentral.
UACGUAGGGGGCUAGCGUUGUCCGGAAUCAUUGGGCGUAAAGCGCGCGUAGGCGGCCAGAUAAGUCCGGUGUGAAAGUCACAGGCUCAACCUGUGAAUGCCGCUGGAAACUGUCUGGCUAGAGUCCGGAAGGGGCGAGUGGAAUUCCUGGUGUAGCGGUGAAAUGCGCAGAUAUCAGGAAGAACACCAACGGCGAAGGCAGCUCGCUGAGACGGUACUGACGCUGAGACGCGAAAGCGUGGGGAGCGAACAGG